GCUGGCGGCGUGCCUAACACAUGCAAGUCGAACGAGAAAGUGGAGCAAUCCAUGAGUACAGUGGCGACCGGGUGAGUAACACGUGACCAACCUACCCUCGAGUGGGGAAUAACUCCGGGAAACCGGAGCUAAUACCGCAUAACAUCGCAAGAUCAAAGCCGCAAGGCGCUUGAGGAGGGGGUCGCGGCUGAUUAGCUAGUUGGUAGGGUAACGGCCUACCAAGGCGAAGAUCGGUAGCCGGCCUGAGAGGGCGCACGGCCACACUGGAACUGAAACACGGUCCAGACUCCUACGGGAGGCAGCAGUGGGGAAUUUUGCGCAAUGGGGGAAACCCUGACGCAGCAACGCCGCGUGGAGGAUGAAGUCCCUUGGGACGUAAACUCCUUUCGACCGGGACGAUACUGACGGUACCGGAAGAAGAAGCACCGGCUAACUCUGUGCCAGCAGCCGCGGUAAUACAGAGGGUGCGAGCGUUGUUCGGAAUUAUUGGGCGUAAAGGGCGCGUANGCGGCGCGGUAAGUCACCUGUGAAAUCUCCUGGCUCAACUGGGAGCUUGCAGGCGAAACUGCCGUGCUGGAGUGUGGGAGAGGUGCGUGGAAUUCCCGGUGUA
RNAcentral lists this ribosomal RNA (610 nucleotides) under uncultured bacterium. RNAcentral describes it as "bacterial SSU rRNA". It matches the Rfam family "Bacterial small subunit ribosomal RNA", at positions 35 to 677 of the family's 1533-position model. The record is from RNAcentral.